GACGGUCCUCCCUAACCGGAGGCGAACAGGGAAUGCCGUGCCGCCCCUCACAAGGCCAAUCGGCAGCUGUACCCGCAGCUGUAAGCGGCGAGCGACUGCCCACACGUCACUGGAGGCACCUCCGGGAAGACGGGCAGGAGCGGCGACCCGCGAGCCAGAAGACCUGCCGGCGAU
This 174-nucleotide non-coding RNA is filed under the name uncultured Reyranella sp. Lineage: Bacteria; Pseudomonadati; Pseudomonadota; Alphaproteobacteria; Hyphomicrobiales; Reyranellaceae. The record is from RNAcentral.